AAUAAAUAAAAAGUACGUUUAGAAAAAUUUGCAUAUUAAUAUUUGAUUAUAAUGACUUCAAGAGGCUCGCUUAGAAAAAUCCAAUCAAAAUGUUCGUAGCCCUUCAACCGAUCUACAAAGAGGGUAUUACCGGAGACAAGCGACUUUAAAACGAUAACAAAUAGGUGAGACAUCAGCAAACAGACAAAAAACGAAUUUGAAAUGAAAACCAAUGCCGAGCUCAUUACUCAUGCGCACUGGAUGACGUCGUUUUUGUGAGCCCAAAGGGGCUUUUGACCAAGCCCCAGCUCGAUUGCUCCCCAAGAUCCCCCAUCUUCAGCGCCACUUCUUAACCUGCUCCACUGCAGCCGAGUUGCAAUGACGGGGCAUUAAAAAAUGUGAGCGAGCCGUGAAAAAUCGCAGCUAGUCGUCAUGACUAGCAGCCAAGUAGCGCUGACUAAGUGGACGUGCGAGUAACUAACAAGAGCCUUUUUUGCGGUUUUCUGCUACCGAAGUUGGGUGUUGAAGUUUAUUGUAGGGAAAUUAAGCGGAAGACACGUUGGCAGCCACUUGAAAUUGAUAUGAUUGGAAAUUGCAUCGCUAAUGAGCCUAAUUGAUUUGCUUGUGGCUUCGGCUGAGUUAGAGUUGAGAGGAAAUGUACAAAGGCAAAUAAAGAGAAAAAAAUAUAUAUCCAUGAUAGUUCACCAUUUUAAGUUCAGGAAUUUAUUAUAAUGUAAAAGUUAAAUUGGCA
Long non-coding RNA from Drosophila teissieri, 730 nucleotides. RefSeq lists it as uncharacterized. The record is from RefSeq and is a predicted model, not a curated record. Lineage: Eukaryota; Metazoa; Arthropoda; Insecta; Diptera; Drosophilidae. The transcript has 3 exons.